RNAcentral lists this ribosomal RNA (283 nucleotides) under uncultured bacterium. RNAcentral describes it as "partial 16S ribosomal RNA". It matches the Rfam family "Bacterial small subunit ribosomal RNA", at positions 29 to 297 of the family's 1533-position model. The record is from RNAcentral.
AGCGAACGUUAGCGGCACGCCUAACACAUGCAAGUCGCACGAGAAAGGGAGCAAUCCUGAGUAGAGUGGCGCACGGGUGCGUAACACGUAGAUAACCUGCCCUUUGGAGGGGGAUAACGUUCCGAAAGGAGCGCUAAUACCGCAUACAGCAAGAGCCGGUUUGCCGGUUUUUGGCAAAGGUAGGGACCCGCAAGGGCCUACCGCCAGAGGAGGGGUCUGCGGCCCAUCAGCUAGUUGGUGAGGUAAUGGCUCACCAAGGCAGAGACGGGUAGCUGGUCUGAGA